ACAACAUAAAAUUAACCAUUUUAAUGCAAGUAAUUUACUGGUGUUUAGUACAUUCACAGUGUUGUGCAAAAGCCAGUUCUACCUAGUUUCAAAAUAUUUCCAUUAACCCCAACACAAACUUGUGCAGAUUAAGCACUUGCUCUCAAACACCUGAUAAACACUACUUUCUGUUAUAUCUCCAUCGAUUUUGCUUAUUCUACUUCCAUUUUAUUUUUAAUUCUUUUUUAAUUGCUAAGUUUUCACUGAUUUCUUUACCCUUCAUGAUUUAAUAUAUACAUUUUACAAUUAGAAUAAUUUAUCUUUUAUCAGAAUACAUCCUCAAGGAACUUUCUACAGAAAGAACUUUGUAGAUGAUGAGCUCGGUGAACCUGUGUACUCCUGAAACGUGUAUGCUUGCUUUUUUUGGAGCAUACCCUUUUACAGCAUACUCUUGUCCUAAAUCUUGAGGAUUUCAUCAUCCAUGAGCAGCAAUCCAGUGAAAUAGAAAACAACAUAGUUGACAAUGAGAAAAGUAAGACGUGAAGAUCAACUUCCUCAACAGCUGGUAAAAAGGGAAACUGGACUUCAAAUCCGGGCAGUCUAGCGUCAGAUCCCAUGCUCUUAACUAUAAUGGCCGCAGAGUAUAUUCAAAAUAUGAGUUCUGCAGAGUAACAUGUUCCAGUUUCCAAGACUGAGGAGUCCACAGUUAGAUUCAUUGCCUGGUUCUGGCUUGGUUGAGAUGAGCCACUGACAACAUGACCAUGUAGAAGUUUCAUCAGCAGCAGAAUGGCAGUGUCUGCCCUUAUAAAGUCAACACUGGAUACACACAGAAAGAUUAAAAUGGCAGAGUACAGGCCAGCAGCAAAGUACAGCCUCUCUGGGACCUGGAAUUGAGACAUCUGCAAAGCAGCAACUUAGGAAAAAGAAAAAAAAUAGCACUUCAGGAAUCAAGUAAGAGCCAACAGGACAGCUAGAAACCACAAAGAAGCUAGAGAAACUGAGGACAAAACAGAGAAAAGAACUAACCAGUUUGGAAAGCUAACUCUGGCUCCUGGGAAGGUAAGCACAAACACAAGCCUAGAGAGGGUCAGCAGCCCCUAGUAGAAACAAUAGAUCACAAAAGCCCAUAGUCACCAUAAGCCUCAAAUGCAGCUAUUAACAAGUAACUCCUGUUACCCAGUUUUGGGGUAUUGGAGGCUCCUUCUAGAGGUGGUUUCUAGGUUCUUUCUGUCCUGCACAAAGAGUUGGUCAAGAAAAGUGCAAAGCCAGUGCCAUCAUGUACAGUUUUUAGUGUGGGCUGAGUCUGAAAGUGCUGCCAUGAAGUCCAGCAGACUGCUUGGCCCUCCUUGCCCCCUACUUAUAGCACAGAGUUAGUGUUCUGUUUGCUUUCCCUGUCUGCCAACAUGAUAGGGAUAUCCUCUGGCCUGGACAGUUGUCAAAUUCUGGGGUAUACGGACAGAGGGACCUCUGUAGUAUGGAAUAUACUUCAUGAGCCCACAGGCCACUUGGGGUGCACAGAAGGGCACAAACACUAAGAGCUGCUGGAGUGAACAGAGCUGUAAAGCAGACAUUAUACCUAGUGGGAAAGACAGGGAGAUCUCAGCAAUCACAGCCGAAAGCAGAUGUGGAAAUGAAACAGGCUCUAGUUAUGACUUACUAUCCCACCCCUAAACCUACUGGGUUCCAAUAAAACACUCUGGAAAGACAUCAUUCAGCCAAAGGCAAAGAGGAAAAUUGGGACUCAUUUCUCUUUUUAUUUUG
This is a long non-coding RNA of Chinchilla lanigera (long-tailed chinchilla), 1740 nucleotides long. RefSeq lists it as uncharacterized. NCBI's taxonomy places the organism in Eukaryota, Metazoa, Chordata, Mammalia, Rodentia, Chinchillidae. The record is from RefSeq and is a predicted model, not a curated record. The transcript is spliced from 5 exons.